UACGUAGGGGGCAAGCGUUGUCCGGAUUUAUUGGGCGUAAAGCGCUCGCAGGCGGCCUGAUGCGUCGUGCGUGAAACACCCCGGCUCAACUGGGGAGGGUCGUGCGAUACGGUCAGGCUCGAGGCCAGUAGGGGGAUGCGGAAUUCCCGGUGUAGCGGUGAAAUGCGCAGAUAUCGGGAAGAACACCCGUGGCGAAGGCGGUUCUCUGGGACGGUACUGACGCUGAGACGCGAAAGCGUGGGGAGCGAACGGG
This 253-nucleotide ribosomal RNA is filed under the name uncultured bacterium. RNAcentral describes it as "partial 16S ribosomal RNA". It matches the Rfam family "Bacterial small subunit ribosomal RNA", at positions 524 to 776 of the family's 1533-position model. The record is from RNAcentral.